RNAcentral lists this ribosomal RNA (525 nucleotides) under uncultured Desulfonatronum sp. Its description in RNAcentral is "bacterial SSU rRNA". It matches the Rfam family "Bacterial small subunit ribosomal RNA", at positions 8 to 508 of the family's 1533-position model. The record is from RNAcentral. Lineage: Bacteria; Pseudomonadati; Thermodesulfobacteriota; Desulfovibrionia; Desulfovibrionales; Desulfonatronaceae.
AGGCUUUGAUCCUGGCUCAGAAUGAACGCUGGCGGCGUGCCUAACACAUGCAAGUCGAGCGAGAAAGGGUACUUCGGUACCUGAGUAGAGCGGCGCACGGGUGAGUAACGCGUGGAUAAUCUACCCAUGGAUUCGGGAUAACAGUGGGAAACCGCUGCUAAUACCGGAUGAGCUCAUGCAUUUUGGAGAUGCGUGGGGAAAGGCGGCCUCUGGGACAAGCUGCCGUCGAUGGAUGAGUCCGCGUCCCAUUAGCUUGUUGGUGGGGUAAGAGCCUACCAAGGCGACGAUGGGUAGCCGGCCUGAGAGGGUGGCCGGCCACACUGGGACUGGAACACGGCCCAGACUCCUACGGGAGGCAGCAGUGGGGAAUAUUGCGCAAUGGGCGAAAGCCUGACGCAGCAACGCCGCGUGAGGGAAGAAGGCCUUCGGGUCGUAAACCUCUGUCAGGGGGGAAGAAGUGCAUGGAUUCGAAGAGGGUCUGUGUUUGACGGUACCUUCCAAAGGAAGCACCGGCUAAUCCGUAGC